UAUUAAAGGCAACGCCUGCCCAGUGAACAAUUAAACGGCCGCGGUACCCUAACCGUGCAAAGGUAGCAUAAUCAUUUGUCUACUAAUUAUAGACCUGUAUGAAAGGCAAAAUGAGGGCCCAACUGUCUCUUAUAAUAAAUCAAUUAAACUGAUCUCCUAGUAAAAAAGCUAGAAUACCAACAUAAGACCAGAAGACCCUGUGAAGCUUAAACUAAACUAUUAAAUCAAAUAAUAGCUACUUUCGGUUGGGGCGACCUUGGAAAAAAAAAGAACUUCCAACCAUAUCUUUUAAGAAUUAAUAGGCUAACAAGCCAACUAACGACCCAGCACAGCUGAUAAACGAAACAAGUUACUCCAGGGAUAACAGCGCAAUCUUCUUCAAGAGCCCAUAUCAAAAAGAAGGUUUACGACCUCGAUGUUGGAUCAGGACAUCCUAAUGGUGCAGCCGCUAUUAAGGGUUCGUUUGUUCAACAAUU
Molecule: ribosomal RNA, 476 nt
Filed under: Philothamnus irregularis (brown tree snake)
Lineage: Eukaryota; Metazoa; Chordata; Lepidosauria; Squamata; Colubridae
Description: partial 16S ribosomal RNA
Rfam family: Bacterial large subunit ribosomal RNA
Source: RNAcentral